CGAAUCAAGCACGAGAAGAAAAGCGUAUUCGGAUGCGAGGGGAAUGUCGAGAGUCCCAGAUGAAGAUUAAGCGUCGAGCAAGAACCGAACACACGUUAAAUGAAGCUUCCGCAAGUUGUUUCGUCGUUAUUCUAAAACGAUGAAUUAAAUUACACUAUGUUGUUUUGCUUCAAGUUUAGAAAAGUUUUAAUAAACCCGUAUUUUAGCAUGAAUGUUUAAAUAUAAAUACUCAGUAAAUUGUGAUUAUUUACGGAAAUCGCUAAA
Helianthus annuus (common sunflower) is the source of this 264-nucleotide long non-coding RNA. RefSeq lists it as uncharacterized. NCBI's taxonomy places the organism in Eukaryota, Viridiplantae, Streptophyta, Magnoliopsida, Asterales, Asteraceae. The record is from RefSeq and is a predicted model, not a curated record. The transcript has 2 exons.